UCCAGCUUAUCGCUGGCGGUCUCCCGCGAGUGCCCCCUUGCGGGCUGGCAACACGGGACAAGGGUUGCGCUCGUUGCGGGACUUAACCCAACAUCUCACGACACGAGCUGACGACAGCCAUGCAGCACCUCGGCUCCACCCCCUUGCGGGGUAGCAGGGUUUCCCCUGCCGUUGAGAAGCCGUUCGAGCCCAGGUAAGGUUCUUCGCGUUGCGUCGAAUUGAACCACAUGCUCCACCGCUUGUGCGGGCCCCCGUCAAUUCCUUUGAGUUUCAGCCUUGCGACUGUACUCCCCAGGCGGCGUACUUAACGCGUUAGCUCCGGCACGGACCGACUGAACGGCCCACACCAAGUACGCAUCGUUUAGGGCGUGGACUAC
This 377-nucleotide unclassified non-coding RNA is filed under the name uncultured Bryobacterales bacterium. RNAcentral's name for it is "contains 16S-23S intergenic spacer region". The record is from RNAcentral. Lineage: Bacteria; Pseudomonadati; Acidobacteriota; Terriglobia; Bryobacterales.